RNAcentral lists this transfer RNA (72 nucleotides) under Camelus bactrianus (Bactrian camel). It matches the Rfam family "tRNA". Rfam says of the family: Transfer RNA (tRNA) molecules are approximately 80 nucleotides in length. Their secondary structure includes four short double-helical elements and three loops (D, anti-codon, and T loops). Further hydrogen bonds mediate the characteristic L-shaped molecular structure. tRNAs have two regions of fundamental functional importance: the anti-codon, which is responsible for specific mRNA codon recognition, and the 3' end, to which the tRNAs corresponding amino acid is attached (by aminoacyl-tRNA synthetases). tRNAs cope with the degeneracy of the genetic code in two manners: having more than one tRNA (with a specific anti-codon) for a particular amino acid; and 'wobble' base-pairing, i.e. permitting non-standard base-pairing at the 3rd anti-codon position. The record is from Rfam by way of RNAcentral. Lineage: Eukaryota; Metazoa; Chordata; Mammalia; Artiodactyla; Camelidae. RNAcentral also lists the same sequence under 1 other name.
GAGGGUAUAGCUCAGUGGUAAAGUGCAUGCUUAGCAUGCACAAGGUCCGGGGUUCAAUCCCCAGUACCUCCA